RNAcentral lists this ribosomal RNA (450 nucleotides) under uncultured bacterium. RNAcentral's name for it is "partial 16S ribosomal RNA". It matches the Rfam family "Bacterial small subunit ribosomal RNA", at positions 354 to 796 of the family's 1533-position model. The record is from RNAcentral.
GUGGGGAAUCUUCCGCAAUGGACGAAAGUCUGACGGAGCGACGCCGCGUGAGUGAAGAAGGCCUUCGGGUCGUAAAGCUCUGUCAUCAGGGACGAACGGCCGGUGGAGUGGAAAGCCACCGGAUUGACGGUACCUGAGAAGGAAGCCACGGCUAACUACGUGCCAGCAGCCGCGGUAAUACGUAGGUGGCAAGCGUUGUCCGGAAUUAUUGGGCGUAAAGCGCGCGCAGGUGGGAUCUUAAGUCCAUUUUUAAAGUUCGGGGCUCAACUCCGUGAUGGGAUGGAAACUGGGAUUCUUGAGUACCGGAGAGGAAAGCGGAAUUCCCCGUGUAGCGGUGAAAUGCGUAGAUAUGGGGAGGAACACCAGUGGCGAAGGCGGCUUUCUGGACGGUGUCUGACACUGAGGCGCGAAAGCCAGGGGAGCGAACGGGAUUAGAUACCCCGGUAGUCC